GUUCAGUGUUGGAGGAGAGUGAGAACCUGAGCCUACAGAGGAACUGGAGAGGAGGAGGGGCUAGCGGCGGCGGUGGGUGAGGGGACACCCCAGGAAUGCUCCCCUGGGCUGCAGGGGGAGGCUGCAUCUUGCCCUUCCAAGAGCUUGCGGUGGCUGGGGCUGCGCUGGGGGGUGCCGAAAGGUGGCCGCGUGGCGAGCAGGCCAGCUGUCAAGGGCACGAUGAAGCAUGAUGAUGAUGACGAUGCCCAGGGCCCAGUGUGCACAACCUGAGGUGUCCGCAGAGAUAAGUACUCUCCAGAGGAGCCGUGUUCUCUUCCGCUUAGUAGCCAGCUGAUCUUGAAGGACUCAGCCCUAAAGGAAUAAAAGGACUGCGGGAACCCCUUCUCACAGGCCCGUGGAUCCCUCUCCUCCACUUACCACUCCAAGAGAUCAGUGGCUUGAGCAGAUUGCUGAACCCAAGCUACAGCCUGUCACUGAAAAGUGCCUGGAAAUGAGGCCGCCCUGGGCAAUGAGCCCCUCGCCCUGUGGAGCUGACUUUACCUCUUCAGGCAGACGCUGUCAGGACUUGAGUUUGGUUAGAGGACCCUAACUGGUCUCCUCUGCUGAAGCGAGCGCUCGCUUGGGACCUGAGGACCCCUGCCCUCAUUAUGUCAGAACUAUGCUGGGAGGGCAGAGUGGUCAAAAGCAUUGCCCUGCUUUGACAGUCCACUGCAGCAAGGUGACGGCUGCAUUCCCUCCCGCCUUACCAUCAGUCCUCUAGCACAAGCCUCCUCACUCAGGAGCCCAAGUUCAAAGAAGUGAAAGCUUCCCGAAACAAAAGGACAAGCAAAUGUGUAUUCUUGAUGUGGCCCCAAGCUCUACCAACAGACUGGCUCUCUGGACUGGCCUGUGCUUAUAGUCAGCCAGCCCUAAGCCCAGCCAGCACAUAGGAAUUCAUGCUCACCACGGUGGCGAGGGUUUGGGACCAAUGGGACGUGGACCACUCUCUUGGAAAUGAACCUUCCCCAGUUCACUCAGGGUACUCUUGAACAUGCUUGAGAGAGAAGCGGUGAUAUUGAUUUAAAGCCAUGCUACUUAAGUUCAUGACAGCCAGCACUAGCAGCUAGAAGCUGAGGUCCUGACUAGCCAGAGGUAAUGCAGCUCAGGAAGAAAAGGAAUCACCACUGCUCUAACUGUGUGACCUUGGGGCCACCCACUUUCCUGGACCACUGUUGUUUUGUACAGUGGGGAUGUGGGCGAGUGUGGAAAGACAAACGAGAGGCUUGGUUCAUGAACAUGAGUCGAAACAUCAAGGAAUCCUCAUCGAAACCGGAAGAUGUGGAGGAGGAAAUGGCAGCCACCUCCAAGGACUGAAAGAAGCCAGUUCUGUGUAACCACUUAACAAGCACUAUUUGGUGUCCACGUGCAAACAACAAUGCUCCGACGCUGUGUGUGAGACCAUGCCAUCUCAAAGCUGCCUUUCCAGCCCUACAUGAACGAAUUGCUCAGGGAAGGAAGGCUGCAGGCUGCCGGAGCCAUUAUCUACUGUCACUGUAGGUGUCUUCAGACCCCAGGACCUCCCAGCCUGGCGUGCGGUGGGCAGAGAAGAGCAGGUGUUCCGGCCGGUGUGAGAAAUGGUCUACAGACACUUUUAGGAGAAUGGGAAGCUUGGAGACUGCGCUGUGAGUUACAGAACCUCCCUGCAGGCGAUCGUCUCUCUCAGCACCGCCAGAGACAGAUCACAGGACCCUUAUAGAUACCAACAUCCGUGGAUGUCCAAGCCCUUUACAUAAAACACAAGGCUCUAGCACCUUCUCCUAGAGCCUGGGUGAUGGAGGCAACCGAUCCAUGGAAGCCCUGUGCAAAUACUUGGAGCGCUUUGCUUGAGGGAAAGAAGAAGUCAGAGCAGUACCUUGUUCCUGCACAUUCCCUCUGUCGCUGCUUGUACUGGAGGACACAGCUAUGAGCACGAGGCCAGCUGUGCUCUCUGGUGGUGAGAAUGCUCUGCAGAGCAGCGGAGCCAACCAGGAGGGGGAAGAGGGUUUGUUUUCCUCCCUCAACUUCAGGGAAGAAGAGGGGACCUUGUGCCCCAGGAGACUAGUGUCACUCGGCCUUCAGGGAGGAAACACUCUACUGUUUCCAAAGUCUUACAUUCAGAGGGGAGGAGAAUUGGCUUGUCUGAACCCAAGGACUGAAAGGGUCACUUCCCAUGUUCAUGAUGGACCUCGGAGGGGCGGAAUCCCCAAGGAAUAUGACGUGUGGCUGGACCCUAGGAAAAGAACUGGCUGUAAGAUGUGCAGAACCCGGUGCGGUGAAAAUGUUUUGUUUUGUUUUCUCACAAGGUAUUCAGAAUUGCAGCCCAGUGAUGUCAGGAAUCCGGGUGUGGGACCCUCUGGAGCACAAACUUCUGUGCCUGGCUUCACUCAAAGUCCACCAGAGUUAUGUUUGGCCAUGUUUUAGGGCCUGUGGCCCAGCCAAGGUGAAACACAAAACAAAUCCUCACAGGAGCUGAAUCCACAACUGAUAACAGCCUCACAGGAACCCAGCUAUGGCAGGUACAACUCCACUCCUAGGCAGCUUCACCAACCACAUCUGAGGUAGACCAGCUGUCUCUACCACUUAAUGAGUCUGGUUCCUUUGUGAAGCCUGUGUCAGUAGUAUGUCAGCCUCACAAAAUCAAGGGGGUCAGUUCCUAGGAAGAGGCCUCGAGGAUCACGGGUGUACCUCAGGGGAUUAAACAGGCCACCGAGCAAACCCUGGGAGCUAGGAAGUUGUAGCAUGUGAUACUGAUACUUUUGAUCCAAUGUCACUUUCCUGCAGCCAGAGACUGUGGGAAGUGCUCCUUGUUAUCACACCAUCUUCUGUUUGCUCUAUCAGAAAUUAUUCAGACCAUUUUCUCUCAUGGUGGCUGCUGCAACAGGCCUGGUCAUCGGUUCAGGCCCAUUUGGUUGCAAAAUUGAAUUCACCCACUGGAGACAGAGUUGGAAGGCCAUUCCCACAUAGGCACAUACAGACUGGGCAUGCACCCCAGCAUGCUGUCCUGCAGCCAUGAAAAGCAGAGAGGCCUCGUUAUUGGGAGGAGGCAGGCUUAGAACUCAAUACCAGUCCAUAAGCUGUGACUUGCACUAUGUGCCUUAACUUCUCUGCUUUCUCUAUCCCCAUCAGUACCACAGGAAUUUGGGACCAGAAGAGAAUACUGUUUGUCUCAUGAACUUCAAGACAAUGAAAAAAAUGUAGUCUAGCUCCCCUUCUGAACUGGCCCUCUAGAAAGCUCAAAGGGCAAUGCUCCAAGUCUGUUACAUAAGAAGUCGUGUGCCCCCUCUUUGCCUCCCCAGUUUGGGGGCUAUUUAGGCACACCUGCAACUUUUCAGGUAAGUUCCCAGGGUCUGACCUUCAAGUGCCCAUAGACAUGUGCUGAUUCCGUAGUCAGUUCGAGUGUUGAAUCAGGCCCUGGGCUGACUGGUCCGUCCACCCUUCCAAAUGGCGGCAUGUGAAGCAGUCAUUGGCAUGCAUUCCAUCUGCUGACUCUGAAGUGCUAAGGGCACCAGAGAGAUGGCUCAGGGGAUAAAGGGGCUUGCCGUUAAGCCUGAGGACCUGAGUUCGAUCCCCAGAACCUGCAUGGUCAAAGGAGAGAACUGACUCUAAAAGAAUUGUUCUCUGACCUCCACGUGAGUGGUGUGGCAUGCACAAGCUUACCACAUGGAAUAUAUAGAUAGAUAGACAGACAGACAGACAGACAGAUAGACGGAUAGAUAAUUUUGAAAAGAAAAUUUCCCAAGUCUAAGAAGAUGGAAGAAGUGUACCAAGAUGAGAGUCUGUCUGUGCCCCAAAAAGGCCCUGUUUCACCUUUCCAGCCCACUGCCAAAGGCAAGCAAAGAGAGACUGUGUCGUCCAUCCCUGGGACCCAGGUCCCUUUCCUCUUACUGGCUUCUCUACAUCCUUGCAGUUCAGACUCUGUCACUCACAUUGAGGUGCUUGCUGUGAGUGUCUUUGUCCUUUUCAAAAUGGUAGGCUGGUUGAAUGUAAUGGUUGGUGUUAAUCAUUAACUUGACAGAAUCUAGAGCCGUGGUUGAGGCCUUUGAGAUUCCUGUGGGAGAGUAUCCUGAUUGUAUUCUUUGAUGUGAGGGGACUCAUCUUGUCUGUGGACAGGACUCUAUUUCCUGGGCUGAGAUCCUGGAUAGAAAAACAUGAAAUAAACAAGCUAAGCACAAGAAAUCGAAUGUUACCAAGCU
Molecule: long non-coding RNA, 4211 nt
Organism: Meriones unguiculatus (Mongolian gerbil)
Lineage: Eukaryota; Metazoa; Chordata; Mammalia; Rodentia; Muridae
Exons: 6
Source: RefSeq, a predicted model, not a curated record